Molecule: ribosomal RNA, 111 nt
Filed under: Caerostris darwini
Lineage: Eukaryota; Metazoa; Arthropoda; Arachnida; Araneae; Araneidae
Source: RNAcentral
AACGGCCAUACCAUGCUGAAUAUACCGGUUCUCGUUAGAUCACCGAAGUCAAGCAUCAUUGGGCGCGGUUAGUACUUGGAUGGGGGACCACCUGGGGAGACCGCGUGCAGU